RNAcentral lists this ribosomal RNA (111 nucleotides) under Bacillidium vesiculoformis. Its description in RNAcentral is "partial 23S ribosomal RNA". The record is from RNAcentral. Lineage: Eukaryota; Fungi; Microsporidia; Mrazekiidae.
AAUCCACUGAUAAGGGAUCUCUCGGUUUCUGUAUCGAUGAAGAACGCAGAAGCGUGCGAUAAUCGGCAGUAUUUCUUAGACGUGACUGUGCGGUCUUCGAAUUUGUGGCGU